GACGUAGGGGACGAGCGUUGUCCGGAUUCAUUGGGCGUAAAGCGCGCGUAGGCGGCCGCGCAAGUCGGAUGUGAAAUCCCGGAGCUCAACUCCGGAACUGCAUUCGAAACUGCGCGGCUCGAGGUAGGUAGGGGAGAUCGGAAUUCCUGGUGUAGCGGUGGAAUGCGCAGAUAUCAGGAGGAACACCGGUGGCGAAGGCGGAUCUCUGGGCCUUACCUGACGCUGAUGUGCGAAAGCUAGGGGAGCGAACAGG
RNAcentral lists this ribosomal RNA (253 nucleotides) under uncultured bacterium. Its description in RNAcentral is "partial 16S ribosomal RNA". It matches the Rfam family "Bacterial small subunit ribosomal RNA", at positions 524 to 776 of the family's 1533-position model. The record is from RNAcentral.